AAGGCAUUGAUAAUUGACUAUUAUAUCCUCCAUUGUAGAUGCUUCCAUAAGCAACAGAAGCUACAACGCUAUGCUAACUUGAACAUCAGAUUUCGCAAACGGAAGAAGUUGGAAGCACAUAAAAUGAUGUACUUAUGACAGCCACAAUUAACAAUUUAUAAAGGAACAGGGAUAAAAACUUGUAACACUCAUUCCACUAGCAAGGCAAACGGAAUGCAAGCAAAGAUGUCUUGUAGUAUAAUAAGAAUCCUUUUCUCUCUUUCUAUACAGCAUGUUAAAACCAAAAAUUAAAAAUAAAAAAAAAGGUUAAAACAAUUGCCUUUUAUCAUGAAUUAACACAAUGGCUCUAUGAUCAAAGAAGCUAAGCCAAUUAAAUAACUAUGAAAUAUAACACUACGAAUGAAACCAAACAAGCCAACCAAGCUUACAUGCAUAGAAAAGACCAGUCGAAGUUACAAAUAGGUGUACCAGAUCAAGUUAACUAAGGGUACUUGUAUUUGAUCUACCAUCCUACAAUUUAAAGCACAACUAAGACACAAGGCAGGGAAUUUGAGCUUCCUCUGGCUUCUUUCUCUAUUCACUUGCCUCAAAACUCAGUUACCAAAUUGCAAGAUAAGUUAUUUCCAACAAUAUGGUGACACAGCCACCAUGGGAAAAUAUUUCUAAUAAUCCUCAACAAGUUCCUCCCUUAAUGAUGAUAGAUGACAUUACACAACCAAUCCAAACAGAGAGCAGUACUUUAUAUACCAAUGCCAAAUACAUUAAUGGUUUAUGUAAAUCUCACUGAAGUAAAACUUUUGCGUCUCAGUUGACUGUAGAGUGUGGGCGAACUGAUUGUCAAAAAUUACUACCACUCAAUAAAUGGCUUAGCCUAAUUAGAUAGGGGGCGAUGCAGGGGUGAGCAUUAUUCGGUUCAA
Molecule: unclassified non-coding RNA, 917 nt
Filed under: Hevea brasiliensis (rubber tree)
Lineage: Eukaryota; Viridiplantae; Streptophyta; Magnoliopsida; Malpighiales; Euphorbiaceae
Source: RNAcentral